CAAUCACAUGAUCUCAACCUAACUGCAAGGGAUGCUGGGCAAUGUAGUCCAGUCAUGUGGCUAGCAGGAAAAUGCAGGGGGCUUGGUGAAAAUUUGCUCUAGGUCCCAGACUUGGCAAAUGAUACAAGAUUUAACUCACACAGUCCGGCUUCCAAGCCCACACUCUUAACCACUGUACUCUCAGUCAGGGAUUGAGUGGGCAAGCACUGUGGGCUGCAGACACCAAGCUCCACCAUGAUUCCCCCUCCACUCUCAGAGGCUCCAUCCAGCUGGCAGGCUCACAGCACUGCAGCCCAGCAUCUGAAGUGGUACUGUCCCUAGGCUGAUGACUGUCACAUUUUUAGUGGGGCCAAAACUUUCCUCCAAGAUUCAGAUGUGUGUCACCAACUAGAGAGCAGGCUUGGAAUUUAAAAAUAAAGUUUUCAAUUCUUAAUACUUGAAUUAAAAGGAGAAUGGUCAUUAAACAGAAACUGCUGCUAAAAGUGACAAGCAACUUAGCAAUACACAUUAGGAGCAAAGAUUAUAAUUUAUGCAGCAUAUUUUCAUAUACAGGCAAAUCUGAGAUAGAAGGAAAAACAAAUGGCUUGGAAUAAAACAAAAUCCUUAAAAUGUGUAAGUCUCUGACCUCAGAUAGAACUUCAGUAUGAACCAGCUGCAGAACAGCAUCUUGGGGCCAGUGGGUUGGGGAGGUUUACUGUUGAUUUGCUAUUAUUCUGUGAGUUGGGUUGUAUUCACACU
RNAcentral lists this long non-coding RNA (738 nucleotides) under Homo sapiens (human). RNAcentral's name for it is "HSALNT0196744". Lineage: Eukaryota; Metazoa; Chordata; Mammalia; Primates; Hominidae. The record is from RNAcentral.